UACGGAAGGCAGCAGUGGGGAAUAUUGCACAAUGGGCGCAAGCCUGAUGCAGCCAUGCCGCGUGUAUGAAGAAGGCCUUCGGGUUGUAAAGUACUUUCAGUCGUGAGGAAGGUGUUAAGGUUAAUAACCUUAGCAAUUGACGUUAGCGACAGAAGAAGCACCGGCUAACUCCGUGCCAGCAGCCGCGGUAAUACGGAGGGUGCGAGCGUUAAUCGGAAUUACUGGGCGUAAAGGGCACGCAGGCGGUUAAUUAAGUUGGAUGUGAAAUCCCCGGGCUUAACCUGGGAAUGGCAUUCAAGACUGGUUAGCUAGAGUCUUGUAGAGGGGGUAGAAUUCCAUGUGUAGCGGUGAAAUGCGUAGAGAUGUGGAGGAAUACCGGGUGGCGAAGGCGGCCCCUGGGACAAGACUGACGCUCAUGUGCGAAAGCUGGGGAGCAACAGGAUUAGAUACC
Molecule: ribosomal RNA, 451 nt
Filed under: uncultured bacterium
Lineage: Bacteria
Description: bacterial SSU rRNA
Rfam family: Bacterial small subunit ribosomal RNA
Source: RNAcentral